UGGGGAAUAUUGGACAAUGGGCGCAAGCCUGAUCCAGCCAUGCCGCGUGAGUGAUGAAGGCCUUCGGGUCGUAAAGCUCUGUGGGGAGGGACGAAAGGCCAAGGAGCUAAUACCUCUUGGUUUGACGGUACUUCCUUAGCAAGCACCGGCUAACUCCGUGCCAGCAGCCGCGGUAAUACGGAGGGUGCAAACGUUGCUCGGAAUCAUUGGGCGUAAAGCGCACGUAGGCGGCUUGUUAAGUCGGAUGUGAAAGCCCCGGGCUCAACCCGGGAAGGGCAUACGAAACUGGCAAGCUUGAGUAUGGAAGAGGGUCUCGGAAUUCCCGGUGUAGAGGUGAAAUUCGUAGAUAUCGGGAGGAACACCAGUGGCGAAGGCGGAGACCUGGGCCAAUACUGACGCUGAGGUGCGAAAGCGUGGGGAGCAAACAGGAUUAGAUACCCCCGUAGUCC
RNAcentral lists this ribosomal RNA (449 nucleotides) under uncultured bacterium. RNAcentral describes it as "bacterial SSU rRNA". It matches the Rfam family "Bacterial small subunit ribosomal RNA", at positions 355 to 796 of the family's 1533-position model. The record is from RNAcentral.